Molecule: long non-coding RNA, 310 nt
Organism: Antechinus flavipes (yellow-footed antechinus)
Lineage: Eukaryota; Metazoa; Chordata; Mammalia; Dasyuromorphia; Dasyuridae
Exons: 2
Source: RefSeq, a predicted model, not a curated record
GACUACAGCAGCGCGCGCGCUCUACCCAUACUCAGAGGUUGGAGGUAGAGGAGGAGCCUCUGCAGCCUCGCUCUCAGUCCGGAGACAAGGACGCGUUGGAGCCGAGAGGAAUUUAUACAUCUAAAAAUGAAGAAUACUCAUCGGAUUAGUAAAAUCGACAGAAAUGGAAAUUGAACAGUGUUAGAGGGAGUUGUGGUUAAACAAAUUCAUUACUCCACUGUUAGUGGAAUUCUGAAUUGGUCCAGCCAUUAUGAAAAGCAACUUGUUACAGAGCCUUCAAAAUAAUAAAAUGUGAUUAUUUUUUACCCUA